UACGGAGGGUGCAAGCGUUAUCCGGAUUCACUGGGUUUAAAGGGUGCGUAGGAGGGCAGGUAAGUCAGUGGUGAAAUCUCCGAGCUUAACUUGGAACUGCCGUUGAUACUAUCUGUCUUGAAUAUUGUGGAGGUGAGCGGAAUAUGUCAUGUAGCGGUGAAAUGCUUAGAUAUGACAUAGAACACCAAUUGCGAAGGCAGCUCGCUACACAAAUAUUGACUCUGAGGCACGAAAGCGUGGGGAUCAAACAGG
RNAcentral lists this ribosomal RNA (252 nucleotides) under uncultured bacterium. RNAcentral describes it as "partial 16S ribosomal RNA". It matches the Rfam family "Bacterial small subunit ribosomal RNA", at positions 524 to 776 of the family's 1533-position model. The record is from RNAcentral.